CUCUGGUGUGUAGGAGGCAGGGGAGAAGGUUGCUGUGGGGCCUGGUGCUGGCCUUGGAGAGAAACUGGAAAUGGGCAUCUAUCUCUGUCUGAGGGAAAGCUAUCAGAGGGGUAGAACCCAGUGGCCCCUCCCUGCUAAUGCUGCAUCCAGUCCAGGCCCAAGGCACCCAGAAGCUCUGGGCUAACCCUGAUCUGCACUGUGACAUAGAUGACAGGUAAGGGGGCAGCCAGGUUCCUCAUUGCUCUGUGAUGGUCCCACGUGUCAUCCCUAAGGCUUGGGGUCUGGACUACAUGUUGGGCCACUCUGGCCACCACCACUCAGGAUGCAGUAGGACCUGGAUUCCAGGUCUGGAAGCAGACCCACACCCCUAGGAGGACCCCCUGCAACUAGGCCCCCAGCCUGACUGUCAUUCUGGCAACCCCAAAAACAACCCACUAGAGAAGCACUAGGUCACUGGCCCCUACUUCCAAGCUCAGGUGGGUCUUGGAAAAUUCCCACAGUGAGCUAGCUCCCAAGGCCAGGCUGUGCUUCUGAGGGGACACUACUCAGGGCAGAGGUCAGGUGUGCCUCUCCUCAGAGAACCUCAUCAUCUCUUGUCUAUUAGCUAUACAGAGUCCCUGGGGAGCAACCUGGAUGACCUUGCUCAGACUGGAUCUUCCACUUUCCCUCCUUGUCUAUUCUCUCUGACAUUUCUUCCCCUACCCUCCUGACUGUUCCCCUUCCUCCUCCUCCUCCUCCCCCUCCCCCUCCUCUGCCAGCUCCUCCCCCUGCCCACACUUCCUCUGUCUCUCCCUGAGUGAGUCAGCAGGGAGCUAGCUGACAGCCCAUUGCAAUCCCUCUGUCUAGCCACCCUUCUCUUCUAGAAUGUUCCAUGCAUGAGGCCUCCUCUGCACUCAGUCAGGCGUGGACCCUGACUACCUUUCCCCUGAGCCUGCUUUAUCUACAGAGGUAGACCAAGCUCUUUCUUACCCUUGGCCUGUCUUCUACUGCUGCUGGUUGCAAGGGUGAUUGGGCCUUACCUAAGUGAGAAGGAGGGUCCUUCUUCCCAUGGGCCGUGGACAUAUCAGGGGGCUGUGUUGGGAAGGGCUUGAUGCUCAUAAGUGGUGGGGGGCAGGGGGAAGGAGGCUAGGAUGCCAUAGUCAAAGCCCAGAUUUACUACGAGCUCAUCAAUUAGUGGCUCCCACCUUGGGCCCCUCCAGAGAAGUUUCUAGAAUCCCAUGCCUCUUUUGCAGAGUGCAGCCCACAACUGUAGCCCACAACUGAGGCUGUAGUCCCUCACACUAGGCCUUAACCCCACCCUACUGUAUUGUACCCAAAAGGUCCAGCCUUAAGAAGGCUGCAGCCUAUGCCUUAAAGUCAAUCCCUGGUGUAAUGUCUCCAGUCGACUCUAAGACGCCAUGACCAGCCUCUAUCCCUCAGCCUUCAUGAGAUCACCCAGGUUUCUGGGAUAUGGACAGAGCCUGGAGUGGCUGUGCUUACUCAGCUAAAGCAUUGUGUCCAGGAGUUGACAGCCAGUGGGGGAGGGACGUUUCAGGUCCCUUUGACUACUCUCCCUCAGCCAAGGGUAUUUGAGGUAGAGAGGACGUGAACAACAAACAGCCUUCUUUGCUCCUGCUGCAAUGCUGGCAAUGGAGGGGGUCUAGGGGGUGUAGGACGAGUCUCUAUACAGCAAUAUGGAUAAAGGAUUAGCCAAGAGAGGGACAGGAGUCAAGGAACAAAUGGGGUGUGAGGAGUUAGGGGACCUUGAGCCUGGGAGCUGUGACAGGGCCAGGCCUCUCUUGCCUCUUGGGGGAUAACCAGGCCUAACCACUCAGCUCAGCUCAGGGACUUCAAGGCUUCCGAGUUCUACCACUGACUCGGGCUGGGCUCCUAACAGCUCAUAAAUAUUCAUUUAAAAAUUAAAGCUCCAUUAAAGGGCUAACUGGCUGCUGAUACUCACCAAUUUUUUUUUUGUGCAAAAAAAGAUUUAGCAGCAGAGGAUGAAAUCCAAGAAGCAAUUCAUCGGCAGUGAAGAAACAUGGGUUCCCUCACAGACCCAGCAGUAUCUGGGACCAGAGCACACAAGCAGCCUUUUGUGUUGCCAGGUAGCUGGCUGAGAUCCUGGUCUCAUGCCUGAAGGUAAACUGUGAUCUAUUGAUUCUGGUGCUGGCAAUCUUAGGCCCUGAGUGCCCAAGACUCUCAGAUGAGAAUGGUAAACCCAGAGGCAUACAGAUCAAAUGCUAAGAGCUGAGGACCUUUGCUCUAAGCUUUAGAAGCCAGAGCUCUGUGGCUCUACGUUCUCAAGCCAGAGUCUCAUCAUUCUGGGCUUUAAGCACUAGCUAUCCUGCACUUGGCAGCCGUUGUCCUUCUAGGCUUUGAAUGUGUUUAGCCUGGGGAGUGGAAUGUGAUGGUUCAAAUAUGCUUGGCCCAGGGAGUGGCACUAUUAGGAGGUGUGUCCUUGUUGGCGUAGGUGUGUCAUUGUGGGCUUGGGCUUUAAGACCCUCAUCCUCGCUGCCUGGAAGUGAGUCUUCUCCUGUCUGCCAUCUGCCUUUGGGUGAAGAUGUAGAACCCUCCGCUCCUCCAGCCCCACAUCUGCCUGGACACUGCCAUGUUCCCAUCUUGAUGAUAAUGGACUGAACCUCUGAGCCUGUAAGCCAGCACCAGUCAAUUGUCCUUUUUAAGAGUUGCCUUGGUCAUGGUGUCUGUUCACAGUAGUAAAACCCUAACCAGGACAGCUUCCAUAACCAGAGAGCAGUAUCUGGAGGUAGCGUUUGCUAGUGUUGCAGCUCCUGGCCUGGUCUCUGGUGUUAAGUCGCUCUUUUCUUACAGUGACUUGUGGUCUGGGGCAUCUUUACCCAUGGCUUGUCCCUUCCAGGCUUUGAAGCCUUUGUCAUUUCCACCACUUCUACUCUUUACCCUGGGCCACUCUUCAGCCUUCUUGCUUCUUCUAUUGCCGUGCAACUGCCACCUCCCCCAUUCCUGCCGUCUCUGCUUUGUCACCUGCUCAGCCUGUUCUACUAGUGACAAUGAUUGAAAGUGGACAAGAAAAGACCACUUUAGAGAACCUUUCAAAGGAUCUAAUGUUGCAAUACAGGGGGCAGCAGAGAACGAUGCCUUUGUGCUGGCUGGGGCAGUAAGCUGAACAGCUUGCUUACCUAGUCAGAAAGGGGUGCAGUGAUGUUAUGCAAAUUAAAUAUUAUGUUUGCCCCACUUGCAGUCCUACUGCUGGGCCACAAGGAAAAUGGUUUCUAGAGUUCACUGAGGCUUGUGAUAAGCAAACGUCUAGAACAAGCUCUUUGGGGCAGUUUUGACCAGAAUACUACCUUCUUGAACUGGUGUGGUACUUUGGCGACAAGCAGCCGUGGUUGCAGUACAACUUCCUUGGGUAUCUGUGAAGCAUUCAGGGCAUCUAGUGAGAGCUGUCUCCACGGCUGCCAAAGAGCGCCUGCUUGUCUGACUUGUUUUCAGCUCAAGGCAGCCAGGUCCUAGGACAGAGGCUAACGGCUUUUGGUUAUGGUUUUAACACCACUAAAGUCCCUAUAUCUUAGCUUUAAAGAAAAAAAUUAAACAUUAAAAGGGGUGCUUGAGUGCUGUGUCUGUAACUCAGUAGAGCAAUGACCUAAUAUGCACAAAGCUCUGGGUUAGGUCCCUAGCACUACACAAAAUAAUUGUAUUUUGUGUAAUUGGGUGUAAUUGGGUGUAAAAUAUGGUGGCUCAUGCCUAUAGAACUAUCAAUGAGAAGUAAAGGUAGCUGUAUUGAGAGUUCAAGGAUAUCCUCUGACACACAGAGAGUUCAGGGCCAGCCUGAGCUAUGUGAGACACUAUCUCAAACAAAAC
This 3816-nucleotide long non-coding RNA is filed under the name Mus musculus (house mouse). RNAcentral describes it as "predicted gene, 32486". Lineage: Eukaryota; Metazoa; Chordata; Mammalia; Rodentia; Muridae. The record is from RNAcentral.